GUUUUUUUAGUUUAAUAUUGAAUAUAAUUUUGAAGAGAUUGAGGUUAAGGAAAAAA
RNAcentral lists this transfer RNA (56 nucleotides) under Wellcomia siamensis. Its description in RNAcentral is "tRNA-Phe". Lineage: Eukaryota; Metazoa; Nematoda; Chromadorea; Rhabditida; Oxyuridae. The record is from RNAcentral.